UGGGGAAUAUUGGACAAUGGGCGGAAGCCUGAUCCAGCAAUACCGCGUGUGUGAAGAAGGCCUUAGGGUUGUAAAGCACUUUCAAUAGGGAGGAAAAAGGUAAGCUUAAUACGUUUGCCCUUGACAUUACCUAUACAAGAAGCACCGGCUAACUCCGUGCCAGCAGCCGCGGUAAUACGGAGGGUGCAAGCGUUAAUCGGAAUUACUGGGCGUAAAGGGCGCGUAGGCGGCAAUUCAAGUCAUCUGUGAAAUCUCCGGGCUUAACUCGGAACGGUCAGAUGAUACUGCUUUGCUAGAGUGCAGAAGGGGCAAUCGGAAUUCUUGGUGUAGCGGUGAAAUGCGUAGAUAUCAAGAGGAACACCUGAGGUGAAGACGGGUUGCUGGGCUGACACUGACGCUGAGGCGCGAAAGCCAGGGGAGCAAACGGGAUUAGAUACCCAUGUAGUCCCUGAGCGGGCUGGCAAGGCGCAU
RNAcentral lists this ribosomal RNA (471 nucleotides) under uncultured bacterium. Its description in RNAcentral is "bacterial SSU rRNA". It matches the Rfam family "Bacterial small subunit ribosomal RNA", at positions 355 to 825 of the family's 1533-position model. The record is from RNAcentral.